GGCUCAGGACUAACGCUGGCGGCGUGCCUAACACAUGCAAGUCGAACGAAUCUUCUUUUGUAGCAAUAUAGAGGAAGGUGAGUGGCGCACGGGUGAGUAAUACAUAGAUGAUCUGCCUUUCAGACUGGGACAACUCAAGGGAAACUUGAGCUAAUACCAGAUAAGACCACAUGGAAGGGAUUCACGUGAACCGAAAGGGUGAGACAAUCCUCCUGCUGGAAGAUGAGUCUAUGUCCUAUCAGUUAGUUGGUGGGGUAAAGGCCUACCAAGACGAAGACGGGUAGCCGGCCUGAGAGGGUGAACGGCCACACUGGAACUGAGACACGGUCCAGACUCCUACGGGAGGCAGCAGUGAGGAAUUUUCCGCAAUGGGCGAAAGCCUGACGGAGCGACGCCCGCGUGAGGGAUGAAGGUUUUCGGAUCGUAAACCUCUUUUAUCAAGGAAAAAGGCUUUAAUGCGAAUAACAUUAAAGUUUGAUUGUACUUAAUGAAUAAGCCCCGGCUAACUACGUGCCAGCCGCCGC
This 524-nucleotide ribosomal RNA is filed under the name uncultured bacterium. RNAcentral describes it as "bacterial SSU rRNA". It matches the Rfam family "Bacterial small subunit ribosomal RNA", at positions 21 to 518 of the family's 1533-position model. The record is from RNAcentral.